GGGGGAGUGCAGUAUCCUGGGCUGGGUCCCCGGCGCCCUGUGCUUCCAGGGCCUGCGCUGUCGGAUUCGCGCUCCCCGUGCAGCCCCUU
This 89-nucleotide microRNA precursor is filed under the name Canis lupus familiaris (dog). RNAcentral describes it as "mir-8799 microRNA precursor family". It matches the Rfam family "mir-8799 microRNA precursor family". Lineage: Eukaryota; Metazoa; Chordata; Mammalia; Carnivora; Canidae. The record is from Rfam by way of RNAcentral. RNAcentral also lists the same sequence under 1 other name.